This 265-nucleotide non-coding RNA is filed under the name Acholeplasma laidlawii. Its description in RNAcentral is "T-box sequence". It matches the Rfam family "T-box leader". Rfam says of the family: Uncharged tRNA acts as the effector for transcription antitermination of genes in the T-box leader family. T-boxes are found upstream of many aminoacyl-tRNA synthetase genes and some amino acid biosynthetic genes usually in Gram-positive bacteria. The anticodon of a specific tRNA base pairs to a specifier sequence within the T-box motif, and the NCCA acceptor tail of the tRNA base pairs to a conserved bulge in the T-box antiterminator hairpin. The record is from RNAcentral. Lineage: Bacteria; Bacillati; Mycoplasmatota; Mollicutes; Acholeplasmatales; Acholeplasmataceae.
AUAAAUUCGAAGAUGCAAAAUAGUAACAAGUCAUUUCUUUAUGAUAAGCGAGCUUACCAAAGGUGAAAGGUAGGUAUAAAUGAAACCUUGUGAAUGGGAUUGCUGAGAAGCAUUUGUGAAAUGACGUAAAGUAAGUAGCGAAUGACGAUAUACCCCACGUUAUAGGGGUUAACAUAUUAAUAACUUCAAUGUUAGCGUAUGUGAAAGAGGGAAAUCUUUUUAGAUUUCUAAAUCAGGGUGGCACCACGAUAUAUUCGUCCCUUAC